RNAcentral lists this long non-coding RNA (11660 nucleotides) under Lynx pardinus (Iberian lynx). The record is from RNAcentral. Lineage: Eukaryota; Metazoa; Chordata; Mammalia; Carnivora; Felidae.
GGCAGGACCGGCGGCCCAGGGAGACCUACGAGUGCAGGCAGGGUUGGCACCCACCCCCUAGUGAGCUCCCCAGGCCUUGCCCCUUCCGUCCCCAGCCUGGCAGCCCUCCCUGGUACCAUACCCCAGCCGAUGAGUAUGUACCCCCAGAAGUACUUCCGCUCAGAGAAGAAGGAGACGGCCAGCAGGGUGUGCAGGUAGAGGCCCUCCACCAGCAGCCAGAAGAAGUUGGCCAUGAUACAGUACUGGAAUAAGACCAUGGCUGCCUUACAGCUCACCUGCAGGGGGAGGAACAGAAGGGGCUCACUGGGGUCCCCUGCCUGCCCACAUCUCCGUUUGGGGCAACAAACACAGGUGCAGCACGGCCAGCUUAAUCUCUUUGUUGUUCUUGCGUUGUCCCUUUCGAAAUGUACCCGGUGGUUUUCCCGUUAUCCCUGAUUUUAGAUCAUCGGAUAUUUGGGGUAAGUUUGCAGAUUUAACGAUCCAUCCAUCAAUUUAUCAUCUAUUCAUUUUCCUUCUAUAUGUCUAUCUACCCACCUACCCAUCCAACCAUCCAUCUGCCCACCUAUCCGUUUAUCUACCCACUAGGUGUUCUACCAGCUCACCCAUCUGUCUGUCCACCCACUGAUCAUUUAUUCAUCUUCCCGUCUAUCAGCCCACCCACGCACUCACCUACCUAUCUCUCCAUUCUUCUACCUAUCCACCUACUAGCCAUCCUCUACCAACCCACACACCUAACCAGCUAUCCAUCCAUUCAUCCAACCUCCUAUCUACUCAUCCACCCCUCUACCUGUCAUCUACCCAAUUUUUCCUACUUUACCCGUCUAUCCUUCCACCUGUACAGCCAUCCACGCAUCUAUUUACUCAGCAUCCGUCUACCUGCCCGUUCACUUAACCCCGCCCCCACCUACUCAUUCACCUUAUUUCAAUUAGGAUAGAAGGUAGCUAGAAGAGGUAUGAGGAGAAUUCUUGCUUGGGUUUGCAAGGGUUCCCUGAAUAUGUGGGGCUGUAGGCUAUGGGCUGUGGAGUGGGGCCCUGAUGGAAGUGUUGAGGAGAAGAGGCAAGAGGAGGCAGAGGUAGGGCAACUUGGGGCUCUGGGUGGCCCACCUGGCACAACUGGAGGACCUUCUCUGUCCUCUGUUCUCUCCCAGAAAGUUUUCCAUUUCAGAUCAAGCCCCAAUACCUGUGAGCCAGAACUUAAAGCCCUCCCCCCUCCGGGAAGCUCUCUAGAUUCCACUCCCUCCUUUCUGUGCCCUUGGCUUUGAGACAUCCUCAGUAGUCUGCUCUCCUCUUCCUGUGGCUGCAAGCUCCUUCAAGGUCCCACUUCAGUCCUUCCAGCUACAGGCGGGCCUGUGUCCCCCAUCCUCCCCCACUUGCCUUGCAACUAGAAUAGCUCAUCUCUUUAAUAGGACAGUUAUCUGUGCUUCUUGCCUUAGAAAAGCUUCGGAGAGCUGCUAAUGAAUCAGAAAGCCAGUCUCCACAAUUAUGCUUAACAAGUGUGCUGGAGGCUUCCUGGCUUCUCCGGGUCCAUGGCUCAUGGGCCCCAGCUCCUGGGUGGGAUCCUCUGAGGAGCUCUGGGAUUGUCCAGGGUGGCCGCCCUGCAUUUCCCUUCCUUCUUGUCUACAUGCCUAAGACUCCACCAUCAUAGGUCCAUUCUCUGAGGAGAAGGUAUUGCUGACGCCCAAAAUAAUGCACUGCCCCUGGGGUAGGUCCUCAUGAAGCAGAGUCACUGGCCACAGGAAUGGGUAGGAGCCAGGGCUGGUCUUGGGCUCUCUGUCUUAGCUCCGGGGCGCUCAGGGAGGGGGUCCUGAGCUCACAGUCAUUUGGAGAUGGACCCCUUAGUGACGGGCAAUUAAUUCCUUAGACACUGUCUUAACUUCCCUUCCUGAGGAAGGCCCAGAACGGACUGAUGGCAGGGGAAGAAGGGAAGAGAAGGGCUGUGUGUGUAUCUGGACCGAAUCCAGGUGGUGGUAGGGGUGGGGGAGUAGGAUGGAAGCUUGGAAGUCCUUGCAAGAUGGGGAAACUGAGGCAGGGAGUUCCCGAAGAUCCCUCUGGAAGUUAGCAACAGAGGAGGGACGGGGGACUGUGGACUCUGGCUAUGAAGUGUCGCAUUUCCCACCAAGGAGAGGCAUCUGUCACGGGCAGGGGCAGGUCUGUGAGCUCCCAGGUGGCUGAGCACCACUCCCUGUGGCUGGGAGGGGGGUGGGAUUCAAGGAGCCGCAGACGGGGUUGGGUAGGGGUUUGGCCAUUCUCGGGGAGGGAGAGGAGGAAGGAGAAGAGAGGAAGGGGGGAGAAGCAGCAGGUGGAGAGGCACUGAGAUUGGAGAAGGUAAAGGCGAAGAGGGAGAGGGAGGUGGGCCUGGGCGGGGUCCUCACCGAGCCCUUGGUGCAAUAGUCCACGUCCUCGCUGUUGAACAGGAUCAAGUCUUUGAUGAAGACAGCGGUGGCCCUCAGGAUGAAGGAUAUGAAGAGGUGCGUGUGGAUGUAGUUCCGCGUGCAGUGGAGCUUCCUGUGCAAGGCGGGCAGAGCUGGGAGGCUGAGGGGGCCUCGGACCCCCCACUCCAACCACGCUGUCCAGCACUCGGAGCAAGGGCAGGGCGGGGGAGCACAGGGCUUCCAAGGGCAGGCCGCGCCCCCGGGCACAACCCUGGCGCAGCCUGGCCUCCGAGUGCCUCAGCCUCCAGAGCCUGCCCUACCCUCUGGUGCCCCAUCUCCAGGUGCAGGGCCAUCCAUGGGGACUAGGCCGAGACAGGUGGAGCACUUUGGUGGUAGGGGGACAGGGCAGGGACUCCAUGCUGCCUGGGGGUGACAGGGAAGGGGCCAGAGCAUGACUGGGCCAGGCUGGGCUCGAGCACAGGAGCGACCCGGCUAGGUCUGCUCUGAGGCUUGUUGCUGCAGCUGGACCUCACCUGAACAGGCUCAAGAUGGCCGUAGCGACCAGAAGGGCAGCGAGGGACAGGCUGUGGCCGAUGGUGUAGAUGGUCUUCACAGAACUGUAGAACAUCGACUGCUGCUGCUAGAGGGAAGAGGGUGGCGGGGUUGGGGGUCUUAGGUGGGGGUGGGGUGGGCUCACCUAGGGGGUAUUGGCAGGGGUGGGUGCCUUACGCACCCUGCCUCCCAUCCCUGCCUUGGCAGAUGAAGAGACUCCAGGGUCCCAAGAGCAGCUGAGCCGCCCCCUCCGGUCCCCGGACCCCUGACACCCCUCCCCUGGGUUUCCACAGACGGGACAGGACUGCUUCCCAGGGCGGGGCGGGGGUUGACUUGAACCUCCUCUCUCUGCUCUUUCAUGAGGGAAAUGUCAGUGACGGAAAGAGCAAAGACCUCACGCGUUCCAUGUGCCCGUUUGUUCAUUCUGCAGUCAUGUGUUCAGCACCCCUUCCGUGCCAGCUUUGGGCACGGCCCCCCGGCGGCCCAACACUGUGCCCUUCAGACUCCACGUGAGGACCUCCCGCCAUGCAGCGAGAGAGCCACACAGGGAAUUAGAAUACUAAAGACGACACUGGGACAAUUUCCCUUCUGGGGCUCUCAGAGGCAGGGGUCAGCAGGAGGAGGGCAAUCUAGCCUUUCUGCAGGGGGACAGGACUAAUCUGGAAUCCAAAGGCUCCUGGCUGGCCCCUCCAGGAACCCUCCCUAGGGACACGUAUGCAGAUCCUUGGCCACUGGGUGAGUCCCUUGUUUCUCUCCACGUCCCACACCCUGCUGGAGAACAGGCAAGUGGUUAAGUGGGAUUUGGGGGAUUUAGAUCCUGCCUGGGGACCUGGUGGGCUUUGAAGGCCUCUGAAGAAGUUGCCCUUGUGGGAGGAGCAAAAGUUCUGAGAAGGGUGUCUGGGGGGUGGGACAAACGUCACAGCAGACGGACACACACACAUACCCACGACCCCACACCGAAGCAGUGAGGGGGCUCCUAGCCGAGGACUCCAGUUAUACUCUCGCUUCCCAUCAGUAUUCCCACGUGGCUCCGGGGCCCACAUCUGCACAGCAACCAUUCACGCUUCACCUGCUCCAGGGCAUAUGCCUGUCCUGGGACUGAGGACCACGGUCUUGUCCCUGUCCCUGUCCCUGACUGGCUGCUGAGGGUGUGCCCCUCAGUUUCCCCUCUGCAUGAGAUAGGAAGAUGAUAUCUGCCCUCCCUGCCCCUCUAGGGCUGGAGCAAGGCUUCCAUGAGUCAGCGGGGUGGCCCAGCCGGAGGGCCGAGUGCUGUUUCAGCUUUUGUCGCUGUGUGUCAUCCUCAUGAAAGUCCCCUUCCUGUUCCCUGUCAGGGACAGAGAGGGGGAUGAGCCCCUGGAAAUGCAGACCUGGCAAGGGAGGAGGCUUGGGGAAGGCAGACCCCACGAGUCCUGGCUUCGGCACAGACAGCAACCUCACUCCUUGCUGGGAGAGGGUGGAAGGAGCCUUGCAGGCCAAGGCACUGUGGGAGGGCAGGGGUGGACUGAGGCCCACCUCUUCCAAAUCUGAUGCCUUGUCAUUCAAGCCACAGGCAAUGGGGUAGGGGCCAGGUUCCAGGUGCGUCCAGCCCUCGUUGGUGCAGCUGCGGCUCACGUUGCGGCCUGGGUGGAGGGGAGAGGGGGAGAGGAGAGAGGUUGAGGCUGGGAGCAGCGUGAGUCCGUGGAGUAGGUAUGGGGCUGGGCUGUCUCUGAGCUCAGCCUUUCCCCGGCACCCCCAGUUGUAUCAGGCUCCAGCGGCCCUGACCCAGACUCCCAGGGAGCUGCCGGGGCACUUGGGGCAGGGAAAAGCUCUUCCAGGGCUUGGCAACACGAGUAACAGUCAGAGCAGACAUUCCUGGGCUCAGCUUUGCCCCUUGUCGUGUCUGAAACUGACCCCGGGUGAAGAUAAAUAAAGCGAUUUUUGUCACGGCCUGAAUUCUUGGUACAGAAUGACCCAUGACCCUUGUCACGAGCUAAAUGUUCACUCUUGUCACAGGGCCACAGGAGCCGGUGUGGCAGAUGGUUUCUUUGUCCUGUGGCUGGGCCGCGGGACUCCUCCUGGGUCAGCUCGCCUGGGCCGAUGGGCCUGAUUUCCUCCCACACCUGGUGUGGCUCAGAUGUGCUGCUGGAGAGGGACCAAAGGUGAGGCAGGAAGUGGGGGUGGAGGGCACCUGGUUAAGGGUGCAGGUCUGAAAUGCUCAUGAAUGGAGAAGCAGGGAGUCCUGGCAGGGAACCUGCCCGGGCAAAGGCAUGUGUGUGCAGGGAAUCGAGCAGCACAGCGCUACAGGAGCUUACGGCUGAACUUCACUGAGUUCUCCACUGUCCUUGGAGGCCCAAAGCUGUAGCGAAGGGACAGGGCUGAUGAGAGUGCCUGUGACCUGAGGGCUACCUUGAGGCUGCCCACUCUCUAGCCCUGGAGAGGAGUUGAAUAGAAAAUGGGUGAGCCAGGGGCGCCGGAAUGUCUCAGUCGGUUAAGCGUCCAACUGUUGAUUUUGGCUCAGGUCAUGAUUCCAGGGUUGUGAGUUUGAGCCCCGCAUCCGGCUCUGCGCUGACAGUGUGGAGUCUGUUUGGGUUUCUCUCCCUGUCCUGCUUGCUCUCUAGCUCUCUCUCAAAAUAAAUAAAUAAACUGAAAAAAGAAAAAAGAAGGAAAAUGGGUGAGCCAGAGAAGAUCCCCCUCCCUCUAUCCCAGGACUCAUUAAAGGGGCACUGGAGUCCGGGGUGAAAGCUGGCUUAUGGGGGAGGGGAAGGGGGAAAGAGGAGGAGAAGGAGGAGGAGGAAAGAGGGAGAGAGGAGGGUGGGGGUGGCAGGAGGAGAGAAGAGGCAGGAGCAGGAGGUGAAGGGAUGGAGGAAGAGGGAGGAGGAGGGAGAGCACAGUAGGGAAGGAGGUGAGGUGAAGCUGAGAAAGAAGAUGGGUCCUAACGUCCUUGCCCUAUAGCUCCUCCCUCACCAGCACCACAGCCACUGUCCCCAUCAUCACUGGUAUCGUCACUGUCACCAUCAUUAGUACCGCCACCAGCACCACCACGAUCGUCACCAUCACGGUCACCACCAUGGUCCCCAUCGCCACCACCAGCAGCAUCAGCAGCAGCAGCAGCAUCAGCUCCAUCACAAAGACAAGUUCGAGAACUCUUCAUUCAUCAGUACUGUACAGAGCAGUGUAGGCUCAGUGUCUCAGUCCCCUCCACCCUCCAGUGAGGAAGGGAAGCCCAGUUCACACUUGAGAAGUGAGGCUCCAAGUGGUUGGUCACUUGCCCAAGGCCACACGGAGAGAAGAGGGUAGAGCAGGUGUGACCCCCAGAGUCUUCUCAGCUGCCCCCUUGCCCCCGUCUGCACUGAAGGGACCUGGGGACUUGUGUCAGGUGUCCAGGUGCAGAGCUGUUGGAGACGUCGAGCUGUCCAGAGAGCUCGGUGGGGGGCGGGGGGGGGGGGGGGGGGGGUCCACCGUGCAUGUACAUCCACUAUUUCUAAACUUGGCUGUGUGCUUGGAAUAUACCAGGUGAUUCCCUGUCCGCUAUUUCUGUUAAUCCUCCUGGCUGCCAUUUGAAAGAGGUUCUUAGCACCCUACUUUAUGGCUGAGGAAUUGAGGGACAGCUGGGGGGCUGGGGACAGUCAGGGAGGACUAGCUGGGCCUGGGUCUCUUGCCACUGCGAGGUCCUGGAGGAAGCAGGAGGGACUUUGCUGAGGAAGAGGCACCGGUUCCUGAUUCGGCAGCCCUUUCCCACACAGGCCUCCCGAGCACACUGCUGCAGGAGGCUCCCAGCACGAGAGACAGGUCCUCCUGCUGGCCCUGCUCAGCUACUUAGCUUUCCCCCUUGUGGCCCAGGCAGGCUUCGGCCAGACCGUCAGUAAACCGCCGGCCUGCUUCCGCCCCAGAUCUAGGGAGCUCACCGUGGGCCCCUCCCAGGAUCCGAUUCUUGUGUGGACUUCCCCCACCAGCCUGGGGCAAGUAGAAAAAGGGGACAAGGUCAGAUCAGCCAGCCUUGAGGUUGGGACACUAAUGCCUCAAGUUUUGAGCUGCACUCUCACCAGAAGGACCAGGGCCCCAUGGGCCAGGCCCAUGACACAGCAGGCACCUGGUACCAUGAAUUAGGUGCCCCAUCUGUAUCUACACAGCAGCUUCUCAUGCCUCCUGUGGCGGGGGGGGAGGAGGCAACAAACAGUACUGUGUUAAAGCUAGUGAUUAGGAGCUAUUAUUAGUUCCACUCAAAGAGGGGGAUGCCAAGGCUGAGACAGGUGACCUGCCCAUGGUCACACAGCAAGGAAGCAGCAGGCUUGGGAUACAGACCUGGGUUAGCCUGACUGCAGCUUUCUGAACUUCCAGAGCGGCUGAAGGGCCACCCUGUCCCCUGGAACCCUGGCCGCCCUGGGUAUUGGGGGGGAAGGCAGGGGAUAGGGGGACAUCUUCAAGGUUGGGUGGCCUCUUUGAAGAGCCCUGGGACUGGGGCCCAGGUAUCAAAGGGAACUCUUCCUGAGGAGAUCUCAAAGGUGGCCACCAUGGGACCCCAAGACGCAGCCCAGUCCGGCCCUGGGAACCAGCAGAACUUGCGUGUGUAGAGGGUGAUAUGCAGGAAGGAGUCUCUUCCUGCUCACCAUGUCAUGAAAAGAAGUCACAGCCACCCCUCCACUCUUCCCUGGGCCCUCCAUGUGAAAAGCACGGCUCAGUGACUAGAGGUAGAAAUCGGGCAUUCGUUUCCUUCCCACCGCCCUCUUUCCACCCCCCGCCCCCCGCCACCUCACCUCAGCCACGAGUCCUGCCCCAGCCUCCCUUCCUCACCACCACCACCACCACCUUAUCUCCCCGGAAUUAGGUAGGAGCCUUCUGAUGGCUCUCCCUGCUUUCCUGUCCCCGCUAACCCACUCCCAACCCGAGAGAGUUGGAGAGAUUGUUCUAAAUCCUCUAUGUGACCGUGGUGCUCUCCUGCUAAAAUCCUGUCAGUGGUAUCCUGUCCCAGUCAACCGGGGCAAACGUCUUAGGUUGGCAUCACAACCCUCUUAUCUAUGGCUUCACAGUGCAGGUGGUGAGGUGGGGAGAGGAGGUGUCCCUUAGACCCCAGAGACACAGUUAGCAGCCUGUGUUGAAUUUUCUCAACCAAAUUAGCGAUCCUAGUUUUCACUCUUAAAAAAUGUCUUUUCAAAUAUUUAAAGGUAAAAACACCACAGACGAAAGACAUACAGACCACGAAUUAAAGGAUCAGGUCCCCACAAACGUUUUGGUCCCUGGAUGAGCAAUCCCUUGCCUGGCCGGCACUCCUCCCCCGGGAUGUUUACCCAGCCCGGGAGAUGACUUCUUUCUAACUCUACAGUCUUUAUUCUCUUCAGGUGUCCUCAGCCUUCCCUGUAGAACUAGGUCCCUUCCAACCCUUCCAGGGAGGACACUCCUUCCUCAGUCCUGUCACCCAAAGGGACUAGAGUUAGGGAUGGUAUUAUUCCUGCUUCACAUUUGCCUUUCUCUCGAAAUUCCCUCUUUGGAGUUUAAGGUCACUGGCUUACACCUUCUUCCCAGGAAAACACACCUCUUUCCCUUACAUUUUCAGCCUCUAACUUAGUCUCCUGUUUCUCUCCAUCAUUUUCAGAGGCUAAGGCACCAAGUACAGCUGUGCAGGUUGUUCACUGCACAGGGGCAUCUGGCUGAUAAAUGGUGGGGGCUGCAAUCUAUUUCAUAUUCAACUUGUCAUUAGGUGGCUUCUGGUGACAGGCUGACUCUGCCUGAGGAAGGGCUACCUUUUCCUCAUCUGCACCAAGGCACCAUGUGGGCCCCAUGGAGGCUGGCAGCCUCAGGGUUAGCCAGAUGGUGGGCUGCGGUCCAGAUUCUUAUGUGAAGUUGCUGCCUUGAUAACUCCAGCAGGGACAGAAGGAAAUGCCAUCGGGAGGAAUGCAAUUAGCAGAGAGUCAGGGAGGAACACAAGGAGCAGGCACUUCCAGGGAAUCUGAGAGAAGGCUGGUUGCAGGCUCUGCCGAUUGGACACCCGAGAGCUGCCGGAGGAGCUCCUCGCCUAGCCACCCAGGUGCCGGGUUCCGCUGGAGAGCUGGGCUAGGUGGGGGCUGGCCUGGAAUACGGCACAUCUGUGGCUGUUCCCAGACUCCCCAGGGAGGGCACUGACAUCUCUCGUUCACUGACUGCCGAGGUCACAACACGGAGCCCUGGGGGGAGAAACCAGCCUGCCCCAAAGAGUCCCUCUGGCCCACCUCCUGUCCCCAUUUUACAAACAGGGAAACAGGUCCAGAGAGGGAAAGGCCACCUGAAGUAAGAGAUGCCCAAGAGUCUUUCUGCUCAGUCUCUGAAUUCUUUAAAAGAAUUUUUUAAUGUUUAUUUAAGAGAGAGAGAGAGAGAGAGAGGAGACAGAGCACGAGGAGGGGAGGGGCAGAGAGAGAGGGGGAGAGAGAAUCCCAAGCAGGCUCCAGCUGUCAGCACAGAGCCCAACGUAGGGCUCGAUCUCACAAACUGUGAGAUCAUGACCUGAGCUGAAAUCAAGAGCUGGAGGCUUAACAAACUGAGCCGCCCAGGCGCCCCCUCUGAAUUCUACUCUGGGUCCUGCUCUUCAUUAAUGCUUCCCCCUCCAGACCUGCUCCUCCCUCGGGUCCUCCCCCUCUGGACUUGCUCCUCCAAAGGAUCCUCCCCACUCCAGACCUGCUCCUCCCUGGGAUCCUCCCCACUCUGGACUGGCUCCUCCCUGGGAUCCUCUCCACUCCGGACCUGCUCCUCCCUGGGAUCCUCCCCACUNNNNNNNNNNNNNNNNNNNNNNNNNNNNNNNNNNNNNNNNNNNNNNNNNNNNNNNNNNNNNNNNNNNNNNNNNNNNNNNNNNNNNNNNNNNNNNNNNNNNNNNNNNNNNNNNNNNNNNNNNNNNNNNNNNNNNNNNNNNNNNNNNNNNNNNNNNNNNNNNNNNNNNNNNNNNNNNNNNNNNNNNNNNNNNNNNNNNNNNNNNNNNNNNNNNNNNNNNNNNNNNNNNNNNNNNNNNNNNNNNNNNNNNNNNNNNNNNNNNNNNNNNNNNNNNNNNNNNNNNNNNNNNNNNNNNNNNNNNNNNNNNNNNNNNNNNNNNNNNNNNNNNNNNNNNNNNNACCUGCUCCUCCCUGGGAUCCUCCCCACUCCGGACCUGCUCCUCCCUGGGAUCCUCCCCACUCCAGACCUGCUCCUCCCUUAGUCUUCUUUUUUUUUUUUUUUCUCCCUUAGUCCUUGGUGAGUGUCUCAGCUCAUCAAACUUAAACCCCAGAGGGGCAUGCUGGAUCUCUCCCUCCCCGCCAUGAGCCUGGCACACCCUUCAUGGGCAAGUUUCCCACUUCUCUCCUCUGCCACCCACACUCUAAGUCCGAACGAUUACCACUUUUCAGCUGCCCUGUGAAUGGGUCUUCCCAUUGCACUACCAGAAUCCCUCCUUCUCAUGAAAAAUCUGAAUUACUGGUUGAAAACCUCAACCUAAAUUGGACUAUGUCAGUUACUGGCUUCAGGCCUUCAGUGGCUUCUCAGUGAACUUAGGAAAAAAUCCCAAGUCCUCAGUCAGUGCUCAGGGCCAGCACGGUCUGGCCUCUGCCACCUGUCUCUUUCCUCUCCUCCCUCCCCUGAGCUCUCUCUGCUCCAGCCGCCCUGGCCUCCACUGCAUUGCCUUAGUGCCCAUCCCGCAGGCUGCUGAUUCUGCCUCUCAAUGAUCCCCCAGCCCAGGAUCUUUCCGGCCUCCGGGUCCUCAGACAGAAGCUGCAGUGGCACCCCCUCGGCGAGCCCGUCCAUCCGUGAACACCUGCCUUAAUGUUGUGCCUUACCCCCUUCUCCCUCCUGGCACUUCUUACCAUUUAUGACACGUGUUUGUUCUCUUGCUAAAUGUCUCUUCAACUAGAACGUUAGGUCCCUGUGGGCAGAGAGCAUGGCUGUUUUCAUGCUGUGUUUGUCUAGCCCAUGCUUGUCAUGCUAGUAGAUGUUUAAUAAAUAUUCACUGAAGAAAGAAUGGCUGAAUAUAUGCAGGAAAGGUUCUUUGGUUAAUCAGUAACAAGAAAGCCCAGUUCCUAAAGAGGCCCCUCUUCUUUUCUGCCUUCUAUGGGAACAUUCAUUUAAAAAUAUGAUAAGGUGUGGGGCACCUGGGUGGCUCAUUCGGUUAAGUGUCAGACUCUUGAUUUCAGCUCAGGUCAUGGUCUCACAGUUGUGGGAUCGAGCUCUGUGUCAGGCCCUGUGCUGACAGCACAGAGCCUGCUUGGGAUUGUCUCUUCCUUUCUCUGCCCCUCCCCUGCUCACGUUCGCUGUCUCUCAAAAUAAAAACAAACAAAUAAACAAACAAACAAACAUGACAAGGUGUGUAAGCAAAGCCCAAAAGGUCAUCGGCUCCAGCCAGUGAAAGACUGAAUCAUGACCAGCCCAAGACAACGGGGAACAUGGGAGCCAUAAUUAGUCCUGUAUCUGUCAGUCAAUUGGUUAUCAACUGCUGAGCAAAUAUUUAGCGAGCCCUUCCCGCGUGUUUAUCUUUUACGUGAAGAGCUAAUCAAAUUCCACGAAUCCUUCAAAGACCUAGUUCUGGCACAUCCUCUUCCACAAAGCUCCUCCCGCACCCCCAAUUGCUCACCCCCUUGACCCCUUCCCGUUUGCCUUCUCACUUCCUUGACAGGUGAGUACCCCCUCCAGCUGGCACCACUUGUACUGCCCUGGCUCCCUUGCUUCCACCCAAGGCUCUUACCUUGAACUGGAGAGAAGAACUUAUAAAUGAGGGGGCAGUCCAAGACGACCACCUGGCCCGGAGGGGUGGCUGGCCAGCAGGUGAGG